UGAAACCUGGCCCCCCCGGCCCGGAUUGUAAUCUGUAGAAGGUGCCUCGGGUGCGAUUCCGGUCCAAGUUCCUUGGAACAGGGCGUCAUAGAGGGUGAGAAUCCCGUACGUGCCCGGCCAUCAACCCCGUGUGAGGCCCUUUCGACGAGUCGAGUUGUUUGGGAAUGCAGCUCUAAAUGGGUGGUAAAUUUCAUCUAAAGCUAAAUACCGGCCAGAGACCGAUAGCGCACAAGUAGAGUGAUCGAAAGAUGAAAAGCACUUUGAAAAGAGAGUUAAAAAGUACGUGAAAUUGUUGAAAGGGAAGCGCUUGCAACCAGACUCGCGCGCGGGUGUUCAACCGUCCUUCGGGGCGGCGCGCUCUCCCGUGCCCGGGCCAGCAUCGGUUCGGGCGACCGGAUAAAGGUCCCGGGAACGUGGUUCUCCUCGGAGAAUGUUAUAGCCCGGGGCGUAAUGCGGCCAGCCCGGACCGAGGACCGCGCUUUUGCUAGGAUGCUGGCGUAAUGGUUGCCAGCGACCCGUCUUGAAACACGUAAGCAAAAGUUUGGCCCCUUUCGAAUCUCCGGAUGCUAACAGUGGAAAUAGGGACCAAGGAGUCGACCUCUUACGCGAGUGUUUGGGCGUUAAACCCAUGCGCGUAAUGAAAGUGAAUAUGGUAUGAGCUUCGGCGCAAUAUCGRCCGAUCUUGAAAUUUAUGGAUGGAUUUGAGUACGAGCGCAAGGGGUCGGACCCGAAAGAUGGUNAGCUAUGCGUGAAUAGGGUGAAGCCAGAGGAAACUCUGGUGGAGGCUCGCAGCGGUUCUGACGUGCAAAUCGAUCGUCAAAUUUGCGUAUAGGGGCGAAAGGUAAGCUUCAAACUUGGUUCGUUCGUUUAUACUCUGUGCUAACGUGGUUCCAGAMUAAUCGAACCAUUUGGAWACGUCCCACCUAGGUGGUUAAUUUUCGGAGUCUCCGGGGCCUUUUCCCGGGGGCGACAUCGCUAUUCAGCAUGGAUCCUCUCCUGCCCGAGGGAAACAUGUACCGGACC
RNAcentral lists this ribosomal RNA (1023 nucleotides) under Fissurina marginata. Its description in RNAcentral is "LSU rRNA". It matches the Rfam family "Eukaryotic large subunit ribosomal RNA", at positions 116 to 1445 of the family's 3401-position model. The record is from RNAcentral. Lineage: Eukaryota; Fungi; Ascomycota; Lecanoromycetes; Ostropales; Graphidaceae.